UUCGAGGUGUAGUGUAGUGGUAGCGCGAUGGGGUUGACAGUAGCAGGUGGGGGGUUCGAAUCCCCCCCUCGACA
RNAcentral lists this transfer RNA (74 nucleotides) under Hordeum vulgare. RNAcentral's name for it is "tRNA-OTHER". Lineage: Eukaryota; Viridiplantae; Streptophyta; Magnoliopsida; Poales; Poaceae. The record is from RNAcentral.